CCUAAACGGCGAAACUGCGAAUGGCUCAUUAAAUCAGUUAUCGUUUAUUUGAUAGUACCUACUACAUGGAUAACCGUGGUAAUUCUAGAGCUAAUACAUGCUAAAAAUCCCGACUUCGGAAGGGAUGUAUUUAUUAGAUUAAAAACCAAUGCCCUUCGGGGCUCACUGGUGAUUCAUAAUAACUUCUCGAAUCGCAUGGCCUUGCGCUGGCGAUGGUUCAUUCAAAUUUCUGCCCUAUCAACUUUCGACGGCUGGGUCUUGGCCAGCCAUGGUGACAACGGGUAACGGAGGGUUAGGGCUCGACCCCGGAGAAGGAGCCUGAGAAACGGCUACUACAUCCAAGGAAGGCAGCAGGCGCGCAAAUUACCCAAUCCCGACACGGGGAGGUAGUGACAAUAAAUACUGAUACAGGGCUCUUUUGGGUCUUGUAAUUGGAAUGAGUACAAUUUAAAUCCCUUAACGAGGAACAAUUGGAGGGCAAGUCUGGUGCCAGCAGCCGCGGUAAUUCCAGCUCCAAUAGCGUAUAUUAAAGUUGUUGCAGUUAAAAAGCUCGUAGUUGAACCUUGGGCCUGGCUGGCCGGUCCGCCUCACCGCGUGCACUGGUCCGGCCGGGCCUUUCCCUCUGGGGAGCCGCAUGCCCUUCACUGGGUGUGUCGGGGAACCAGGACUUUUACUGUGAAAAAAUUAGAGUGUUCAAAGCAGGCCUAUGCUCGAAUACAUUAGCAUGGAAUAAUAGAAUAGGACGUGCGGUUCUAUUUUGUUGGUUUCUAGGACCGCCGUAAUGAUUAAUAGGGACAGUCGGGGGCAUCAGUAUUCAAUUGUCAGAGGUGAAAUUCUUGGAUUUAUUGAAGACUAACUACUGCGAAAGCAUUUGCCAAGGAUGUUUUCAUUAAUCAGGAACGAAAGUUAGGGGAUCGAAGACGAUCAGAUACCGUCGUAGUCUUAACCAUAAACUAUGCCGACUAGGGAUCGGGCGGUGUUAUUUUUUGACCCGCUCGGCACCUUACACGAAAGUAAAGAGGUGGGUUCUGGGGGGAGA
Molecule: ribosomal RNA, 1039 nt
Filed under: Phaeoacremonium novae-zelandiae
Lineage: Eukaryota; Fungi; Ascomycota; Sordariomycetes; Togniniales; Togniniaceae
Description: SSU rRNA
Rfam family: Eukaryotic small subunit ribosomal RNA
Source: RNAcentral